This is a long non-coding RNA of Sciurus carolinensis (gray squirrel), 361 nucleotides long. RefSeq lists it as uncharacterized. The record is from RefSeq and is a predicted model, not a curated record. Lineage: Eukaryota; Metazoa; Chordata; Mammalia; Rodentia; Sciuridae. The transcript is spliced from 3 exons.
AGCCCGGAGCAAGAGUAAGAAAAAGCCACGUCCUCCAGAUGGAGGAUCUGAGGUUGGCAAACAGCCUGCUAGCGGUGACAAGAAGCGGUAUGCAAAGACCAGACCGCAGCACUGGUGUGACCACUACAGCCUGUGCUGAUCUAGGAGUGCAUAUGAAGUGGUGUAAGUUAUGAACAUUCACGUGAGACAGUAGAAGAUACACAUCCUCUGAAUGUCAAGAGCACUAGAGAAGUAAAGAAACUGUGUAGAAUGCAUCUGUUCUUUGGUGGGAAAUGGACCAAACAGCAUCUUUGCAGUGGAACCAGACUCCAUGGUAUGUAACCAUGACUCCUGAGAAGCUCUGCUCUGCUCUGAUCACAUG